RNA transcript from Lactuca sativa (garden lettuce), 4196 nucleotides. It is a transcript of the gene named P-loop containing nucleoside triphosphate hydrolases superfamily protein, with no coding region annotated. The record is from RefSeq and is a predicted model, not a curated record. NCBI's taxonomy places the organism in Eukaryota, Viridiplantae, Streptophyta, Magnoliopsida, Asterales, Asteraceae.
AUACCGACGUACCGUAGAGUAAUCGUUUUUCUUCUUCUCACGGUUAAAGAAGAAAAAAAGGGGGGAGAAGUAGGUCAUCUUCUUCGCCAUUAGCAUCCAAUAACCACACUCGAACACCUUCAAUCCAAAUACUAAUCAUCUUUCGUCGUUACCUCACUAUUCGAAUAGUCGAUUGACUCUCAAGUUCUGAUCUUGAGGUACGAAGAGAUAAAAAAUCGAAAGAAAUUAGGGUUACCAAAGGGAUCCAAGUUUUUUAGACUCGAAAGAAGCACGUUCAUUUGAGUAAAAACUACGAUAUGGAAGAGUCGAAGCAUAAAUCUAGCAAGAAGGACGAUUCUUUGAAGAAAGACGAAGAUUUGAAGAGAGGGCAUCGUGAGAAGGAUAGGCGUAGAGAGAGGGAGAGAGACAGGGAUAAAGAGAAAGAGAAAGAAAGGAGUGUUGAUGAGAAGUACAAAGACAAAGAGAAGCAUAAAGAGAGGCAUAGAGAUAGAGAUAGAGAUAGGGAGAAGGAGAAGGAAAGGAAAGAGAGGGAGAGAGAGAAGGAGCGUGAACGGGAACGAGCAAAAGAGAAAGAGAACAGAGAGAAAGAGAGAGAAAAAGAGAGGGUGAAAGAGAGAGAAAGGGAGAAAGAAAGAGAGAAGGAGAGAGAGAGGAGGGAGAGAAGAGAAAGGGAAGAAAGAGAUAGGGAAAAGAUGCGAGAGAAACGUAGAGAAGCUGAGAGGGAUCACAAUAAUGGUGUUGGAAAUGAUGAUGUGAGAGAUCGAGAUAGAAAGAGGAGGAGGAGAGAUGAUGAUUACAAGGAGGAGAGAGAACGUAAGGUGUCUAGCAGACGAAGCAGGGAAGAUAGUGUAGAUAAUAACAGUGUGGUGAAGAAGGCUGAUGAAAACUCUUCAGAUAAGAAAGAGAUAAGGAGCCGUGAAGAAGAUAUGGAGGAAGAACAACGGAAAUUAGAUGAUGAAAUGGAGAAGAGAAGGAGGAGAGUUCAAGAAUGGCAGGAAAAAAGAAGAAAAAAGGAGGAAUCUGCUGGGGAGACUGAUGAACUAAAAUCAGGUAAGACAUGGACUCUAGAAGGUGAGUCUGAUGAUGAAGAAGCUGCUGCCAAUAAUGAGAAUGAAGAAGGUGACAUGGAUGUGGAUGACAAUGUGAAACAGAAAGGAGACAUUGAAAAUGGGAAUGGAGAUGUCACGGUUAACAGAUCACCAGAUACUGUGGCUCCUUUGCAGAAUGGUGGUGAUAUGAAAGAAGAAGAAGAAGAGGAAAUCGAUCCUUUGGAUGCUUUCAUGAAUUCCAUGGUGAUACCAGAAGUCAAGAAGCUGGAGGUUCCUGUUUUAGACGAUCAAAAGAAAGAUGGCAAGAAGAUUCAGAACAAUGGACAGCAACGAAAAAGAUCAAUGGGGAGGAUCAUUCCUGGUGAAGAUUCGGAUUCGGAUUAUCCUAAUGUCGAAAAUGAGGAUGACGAUCCUUUGGAAGAUGAAGACGAUGAUGAGUUCAUGAAAAGAGUAAAGAAGACAAAGGUUGAAAAGUUAUCCCUUGUUGACCAUUCAAAGAUCGACUACAUCCCAUUCAGGAAAAACUUUUAUAUCGAAGUAAAGGAAAUCCAAAAAAUGUCUGCUGAAGAAGUUGCUGUUUACAGAAAACAACUUGAACUGAAAAUACACGGAAAAGACGUACCAAAACCGAUCAAAACCUGGCAUCAAACCGGACUCACAACUAAAAUCCUAGAAACAAUCAGAAAGCUGAAUUAUGACAAACCAAUGCCUAUCCAAACACAAGCACUCCCAAUUAUAAUGAGUGGUCGCGAUUGUAUAGGCGUCGCGAAAACCGGUUCAGGUAAAACCCUAGCUUUUGUUCUUCCAAUGUUGAGACACAUAAAAGACCAACCACCUCUCAUGUCUGGAGACGGACCCAUCGGACUCAUAAUGGCACCUACACGAGAACUCGUUCAACAAAUCCACAGCGACAUAAGAAAAUUCACAAAAGUGAUGGGACUCACCUGCGUGCCGGUCUACGGAGGUUCCGGUGUUGCCCAACAAAUCAGCGAGCUGAAACGCGGAGCUGAAAUCGUGGUCUGCACACCUGGCAGAAUGAUUGACAUUUUAUGUACAAGUGCUGGAAAGAUAACAAAUCUACGUAGGGUCACGUAUUUAGUCAUGGACGAAGCUGACCGUAUGUUUGACAUGGGUUUUGAACCUCAAAUCACCCGGAUCCUUCAAAACACCCGACCCGAUCGCCAGACUGUACUUUUCUCUGCCACCUUCCCCCGCCAGGUGGAGGUUCUAGCAAGAAAAGUUUUAAACAAACCCGUUGAAAUACAGGUAGGCGGGAGGUCAGUUGUGAACAAAGACAUAAGUCAAUUAGUUGAAGUAAGACCAGAGAACGAAAGGUUCCUUAGGUUAUUAGAGCUACUCGGGGAAUGGUAUGAAAAAGGUAAGAUUUUGAUUUUUGUCCAUUCACAGGAGAAAUGCGACGCGUUGUUUCGUGAUCUGUUGAAACACGGGUACCCGUGUUUAUCGCUCCACGGGGCGAAAGAUCAAACGGAUCGAGAAUCGACGAUUUCUGAUUUUAAAAGUAACGUUUGCAAUCUGUUGAUUGCGACUAGUAUUGCUGCUAGAGGUUUGGAUGUGAAGGAGCUUGAGCUUGUGAUAAAUUAUGAUGUGCCGAAUCAUUACGAAGACUACGUGCACCGUGUGGGCCGUACGGGGCGGGCCGGAAGGAAAGGGUGUGCGGUUACGUUUUUAUCGGGUGAAGACGAACGAUACGCGCCGGAUCUCGUAAAGGCUCUGGAACUUUCCAAUCAGGUUGUUCCGGAUGAUUUGAAAGCUCUUGCGGAUGCGUUUAUGGCGAAGGUGAAUCAAGGACUGGUUCAAGCUCAUGGGACUGGUUAUGGUGGAAGUGGGUUUAAGUUUAAUGAGGAAGAGGAUGAAGUGAGGAAGGCUGCGAAAAAAGCACAGGCGAAAGAGUAUGGAUUUGAAGAAGAUAAGUCUGAUUCGGAAGACGAUGAUGAUGGUGUUAGGAAGGCGGGAGGGGAUAUUUCUCAACAGGCGGUUCUUGCUCAGGCGGCUGCACUUGCUGCCGCCAGUCAACAACCCCAGACAACCGGCGUUUCCCUGCCAGGUGUACUUGGUGUCGGUGUUGCAGGGGGUAAUGAUGGGGCGGCUAGGGCGGCGGCGUUGGCGGCUGCGAUGAACUUGCAGCAUAACCUGGCGAGGAUUCAGGCGGACUCUUUGCCUGAGCAUUAUGAGGCUGAGUUGGAGAUUAAUGAUUUCCCUCAGAACGCGAGGUGGAAGGUGACACAUAAGGAGACUCUGGGCCCGAUUUCUGAGUGGACUGGAGCUGCUAUUACUACUAGGGGUCAAUAUGUUCAACCUGGUAGGAUCCCGGGACCAGGGGAGAGAAAACUUUAUCUGUUUAUUGAGGGAGGUACUGAACAGUCUGUUAAAAGGGCAAAAGCGGAAUUAAAACGAGUUCUGGAAGACAUCACAACACAAGCAUUAUCUCUUCCAACUUCACAACCGGGGCGUUACUCUGUCGUAUGACAAGUACCCAACACUUGUAAGCUACGGCUUGACGGAGGAUCCAGCUUGCACAUACAUACAUUACAUAUUUUGUCAUGUGAUGUGAUGUGCAAUUGGUUUUUAGUGCCUGCCAGGUGGCGAUGACCAACCGAGUUUCUCUUUUUGUAAUAAAAUGUUUGGUUGGGUGAAGGGGCCUUUGUUGCUUUGCUUCUUGAAUCUUGACUGACAGUGUUGUGAAGUUAGCCUAGGGUUCCCCUUUUUAACCCAAACACCUUGAUUGCAUAUAUGUUGAGUCACAAGGGAAUUCUAGACAUUUGAUAGGAAACUAUGUAGAGUCAGAUAUAUUACUUAUAACUUCAUUAAAUCUGACACUUGUAGCAUUGCAGGUUAUUAUAGAUUGUGGUCGUGGACUGGAGGAUGAAGCUGGAGCUCUUUUAUUCAUUUGGGAGUACAAUGCGUUUUUUAAAAGUUCUAUUAUGGUUCAGCUCCAUUGGUUUGUUUUUUUAUUUUGGUUCCUUAUUAAUAUAGUAAUAUCUACUUUUUUGAGAAUCAACUAUUAACUGCUGUACUUAUAGUUGAUGAUACUUUCUUUAUAAAAAGAAUCUGGAAAAGUUGGACAAUGGCUCCAUUGAGAUCUGGAACUACAACAAGUAUUUGAUAUAAUAGAUGGAGUUAACAUGA